This 430-nucleotide ribosomal RNA is filed under the name uncultured bacterium. RNAcentral describes it as "partial 16S ribosomal RNA". It matches the Rfam family "Bacterial small subunit ribosomal RNA", at positions 29 to 504 of the family's 1533-position model. The record is from RNAcentral.
AACGAACGCUGGCGGCAUGCCUAACACAUGCAAGUCGAACGAGACCUUCGGGUCUAGUGGCGCACGGGUGCGUAACGCGUGGGAACCUGCCCUUAGGUUCGGAAUAACUCCCCGAAAGGGGUGCUAAUACCGGAUAAUGUCUUCGGACCAAAGAUUUAUCGCCUUUGGAUGGGCCCGCGUUGGAUUAGCUAGUUGGUAGGGUAAAAGCCUACCAAGGCGACGAUCCAUAGCUGGUCUGAGAGGAUGAUCAGCCACACUGGGACUGAGACACGGCCCAGACUCCUACGGGAGGCAGCAGUGGGGAAUAUUGGACAAGGGGCGAAAGCCUGAUCCAGCAAUGCCGCGUGAGUGAUGAAGGCCGUAGGGUUGUAAAGCUCUUUUACCCGGGAUGAUAAUGACAGUACCGGGAGAAUAAGCUCCGGCUAACUCC